This 542-nucleotide ribosomal RNA is filed under the name Mitra glabra. RNAcentral's name for it is "partial 12S ribosomal RNA". Lineage: Eukaryota; Metazoa; Mollusca; Gastropoda; Neogastropoda; Mitridae. The record is from RNAcentral.
AACCAGGAGGUCAAGUUGUGUAUUAAUGGUAAAAAGACAGUUAGACAAAACAAUGGGUUUAAUUCAUCGUGUUAUUAGGAGGUAGAAUUCGAAUAUAGACGGAUAUAUUAAUUAAAACUAAUGUGUUGAAGCUGUGACAACUUUGAGGGAAACUAGGAUUAGAUACCCUAUUAUUCAUAGAUAUAAAUAAGAAAGUUCUACCGGAGUACUAAGAAUAAAAAAUUUAAAACUCAAAGGGCUUGGCGGUGUUUUAGACUACUUAGGGGAACCUGUCUCAUAAUCGACAAUCCACGUUAAACCUAACCUUUUCUUGCACUCAGCUUGUAUACCGUCGUCGCCAGGUAACUUUUAAGAUAAAAAAAGUUAGCUAAUUAAAUAUUUAAGUUAAGACGUCAGAUCAAGGUGCAGCUUAUGAAGGGGUGUAGAUGGGUUACAAUUAUUAUACUUAUAAUUACGGAUAACAACUUUAAAGGUAAUUAGUAAGGAGGACUUAAAAGUAAAACAGAUUAUAUAAGCAUUUUGAAUAAAGCUCUGAAACGUGC